UUCGGUCCUCGGUAGUGAUGUCCGGAAAAAAGUUCUUUUCCGUGCGUCUCGAUCGAUGACCGGG
The submitters of this non-coding RNA (64 nucleotides) gave its source as unclassified sequences. The record is from Rfam.